This 524-nucleotide ribosomal RNA is filed under the name uncultured bacterium. RNAcentral's name for it is "partial 16S ribosomal RNA". It matches the Rfam family "Bacterial small subunit ribosomal RNA", at positions 28 to 523 of the family's 1533-position model. The record is from RNAcentral.
GACGAACGCUGGCGGCGUGCCUAAUACAUGCAAGUCGAGCGCAGGAAAUCGACGGAACCCUUCGGGGGGAAGUCGACGGAAUGAGCGGCGGACGGGUGAGUAACACGUAAAGAACCUGCCCUCAGGUCUGGGAUAACCACGAGAAAUCGGGGCUAAUACCGGAUGGGUCAUCGGACCGCAUGGUCCGAGGAUGAAAGGCGCUUCGGCGUCGCCUGGGGAUGGCUUUGCGGUGCAUUAGCUAGUUGGUGGGGUAAUGGCCCACCAAGGCGACGAUGCAUAGCCGACCUGAGAGGGUAAGCGGCCACACUGGGACUGAGACACGGCCCAGACUCCUACGGGAGGCAGCAGUAGGGAAUCUUCCACAAUGGACGAAAGUCUGAUGGAGCAACGCCGCGUGAACGAUGAAGGCCUUCGGGUCGUAAAGUUCUGUUGUAAGGGAAGAACAAGUGCCGCAGGCAAUGGCGGCACCUUGACGGUACCUUGCGAGAAAGCCACGGCUAACUACGUGCCAGCAGCCGCCGUAA